This 494-nucleotide ribosomal RNA is filed under the name uncultured bacterium. RNAcentral's name for it is "partial 16S ribosomal RNA". It matches the Rfam family "Bacterial small subunit ribosomal RNA", at positions 28 to 507 of the family's 1533-position model. The record is from RNAcentral.
GAUGAACGCUGGCGGCGUGCUUAACACAUGCAAGUCGAACGGUGAAGCGCCUUCCUUUUUGCUUUGUGUGUAUGAGUGGCAAACGGGUGAGUAACACGUGAGUAACCUGCCCCCGUCUUCUGGAAAACCGCAUGAAAGUGUGGCUAAUACGUGAUAUUUUGGGUCUGUCGCAUGAUGGGUCUGGGAAAGAUUUUGUUUCGCUGGGGGAUGGGCUCGCGGCCUAUCAGCUUGUUGGUGGGGUGAGGGCCUACCAAGGCGGUGACGGGUAGCCGGCAUGAGAGGGUGGACGGUCAUACUGGGAAUGAGACACGGCCAAGACUACGACGGGAGGCAGCAGUGGGGAAUAUUGCACGAUGGGCGCAAGCCUGAUGCAGCGACGCCGCGUGAGGGAUGGAGGCCUUCGGGUUGUGAACCUCUGUCGCCAGUGAAGCAGGCCUGCCUCGUUUGUGGGUGGGUUGACGGUAGCUGGAUAAGAAGCGCCGGCUAACUACGUG